RNAcentral lists this unclassified non-coding RNA (418 nucleotides) under soil metagenome. RNAcentral's name for it is "partial contains 5.8S ribosomal RNA, internal transcribed spacer 2, and large subunit ribosomal RNA". The stretch from base 1 to 120 matches the Rfam family "5.8S ribosomal RNA", at positions 35 to 154 of the family's 154-position model. The record is from RNAcentral.
GAUGAAGAACGUAGCGAAAUGCGAUAAGUAAUGUGAAUUGCAGAAUUCAGUGAAUCAUCGAAUCUUUGAACGCAUCUUGCGCUCCUUGGUAUUCCUUGGAGCAUGCCUGUUUGAGUAUCAUGAGCAAACCUCAAAGUCAAUUCCUUUUGUUAAUUCAAUUGGUUUUGCUUUGGACUUGGAGGUCUUGCAGAUUUCACAGUCUGCUCCUCUUAAAUGCAUUAGCUGGAUCUCAGUAAUUAUGCUUGGUUCCACUCGGCGUGAUAAGUAUCACUCGCUGAGGACACUGUUAAAAAGGUGGCCAGGAAAAUACUGAUUGACCCGCUUCUAACGGUCUAUUAAGUUAGACAAUUACCCUUAAGUUUAAUCUCAAAUCAGGUAGGACUCCCCGCUGAACUUAAGCAUAUCAAUAAGCGGAGUA